UACGAAGGGGGCUAGCGUUGUUCGGAAUUACUGGGCGUAAAGCGUGCGUAGGUGGUUUGUUAAGUCUGCUGUGAAAGCCCCGGGCUCAACCUGGGAAUGGCAGUGGAUACUGGCAAGCUAGAGUGCGGUAGAGGGGUGUGGAAUUCCCGGUGUAGCGGUGAAAUGCGUAGAUAUGCGGAGGAACACCGAUGGCGAAGGCAAUCCCCUAGGCCUGCACUGACGCUCAUGCACGAAAGCGUGGGGAGCAAACAGG
This 253-nucleotide ribosomal RNA is filed under the name uncultured prokaryote. RNAcentral describes it as "partial 16S ribosomal RNA". It matches the Rfam family "Bacterial small subunit ribosomal RNA", at positions 524 to 776 of the family's 1533-position model. The record is from RNAcentral.